RNAcentral lists this transfer RNA (63 nucleotides) under Ptygomastax nihilsulcus. RNAcentral describes it as "tRNA-Arg". The record is from RNAcentral. Lineage: Eukaryota; Metazoa; Arthropoda; Insecta; Orthoptera; Eumastacidae.
AAAUAAGAAGCGAAUAUUGCAAUCAGUUUCGACCUGAUACUUGGUUAACUAAACCCUUAUUUA